UACGAAGGGGGCUAGCGUUGCUCGGAAUGACUGGGCGUAAAGGGCGCGUAGGCGGUUUGGACAGUCAGAUGUGAAAUUCCUGGGCUCAACCUGGGGGCUGCAUUUGAUACGUUCGGACUAGAGUGGGGAAGAGGGUCGUGGAAUUCCCAGUGUAGAGGUGAAAUUCGUAGAUAUUGGGAAGAACACCGGUGGCGAAGGCGGCGACCUGGUCCUUGACUGACGCUGAGGUGCGAAAGCGUGGGGAGCAAACAGG
RNAcentral lists this ribosomal RNA (253 nucleotides) under uncultured bacterium. Its description in RNAcentral is "partial 16S ribosomal RNA". It matches the Rfam family "Bacterial small subunit ribosomal RNA", at positions 524 to 776 of the family's 1533-position model. The record is from RNAcentral.